UACGUAGGGGGCAAGCGUUAUCCGGAUUUACUGGGUGUAAAGGGGGCGCAGACGGAAUCGUAAGCCAGAUGUGAAAGCCCCGGGCUCAGCCCGGGGAGUGCAUUUGGAACUGCGGAUCUAGAGUACUGGAGGGGCAGGCGGAAUUCCUGGUGUAGCGGUGAAAUGCGUAGAUAUCAGGAAGAACACCGGUGGCGAAGGCGGCCUGCUGGACAGAGACUGACGUUGAGGCCCGAAAGCGUGGGGAG
This 245-nucleotide ribosomal RNA is filed under the name uncultured Lachnospiraceae bacterium. Its description in RNAcentral is "partial 16S ribosomal RNA". It matches the Rfam family "Bacterial small subunit ribosomal RNA", at positions 524 to 768 of the family's 1533-position model. Lineage: Bacteria; Bacillati; Bacillota; Clostridia; Lachnospirales; Lachnospiraceae. The record is from RNAcentral.